ACCUACGGGAGGCAGCAGUGGGGAAUAUUGCACAAUGGGGGAAACCCUGAUGCAGCGACGCCGCGUGAAGGAUGAAGUAUUUCGGUAUGUAAACUUCUAUCAGCAGGGAAGAAAAUGACGGUACCUCUUGAAUAAGCCACGGCUAACUACGUGCCAGCAGCCGCGGUAAUACGUAGGUGGCAAGCGUUGUCCGGAUUUACUGGGUGUAAAGGGCGUGCAGCCGGGAAGACAAGUCAGAUGUGAAAUCCCGCGGCUCAACCGCGGAACUGCAUUUGAAACUGUUUUUCUUGAGUACCGGAGAGGUC
This 305-nucleotide ribosomal RNA is filed under the name uncultured bacterium. RNAcentral describes it as "bacterial SSU rRNA". It matches the Rfam family "Bacterial small subunit ribosomal RNA", at positions 337 to 659 of the family's 1533-position model. The record is from RNAcentral.